UGGGGAAUUUUGGACAAUGGGCGAAAGCCUGAUCCAGCAAUGCCGCGUGUGUGAAGAAGGCCUUCGGGUUGUAAAGCACUUUUGUCCGGAAAGAAAUCCUUGGCUCUAAUACAGUCGGGGGAUGACGGUACCGGAAGAAUAAGCACCGGCUAACUACGUGCCAGCAGCCGCGGUAAUACGUAGGGUGCAAGCGUUAAUCGGAAUUACUGGGCGUAAAGCGUGCGCAGGCGGUUUGCUAAGACCGAUGUGAAAUCCCCGGGCUCAACCUGGGAACUGCAUUGGUGACUGGCAGGCUAGAGUAUGGCAGAGGGGGGUAGAAUUCCACGUGUAGCAGUGAAAUGCGUAGAGAUGUGGAGGAAUACCGAUGGCGAAGGCAGCCCCCUGGGCCAAUACUGACGCUCAUGCACGAAAGCGUGGGGAGCAAAACAGGAUUAGAUACCCUGGUAGUCCACGCCCUAAAACGAUGUCAACUAGUUGUUGGGGAUUCAUUUCCUUAGUAACGUAGCUAACGCGUGAAGUUGACCGCCUGGGGAGUACGGUCGCAAGAUUAAAACUUAAAUGGAAUUGACGGGGUCAUAGCUG
Molecule: ribosomal RNA, 582 nt
Filed under: uncultured bacterium
Lineage: Bacteria
Description: partial 16S ribosomal RNA
Rfam family: Bacterial small subunit ribosomal RNA
Source: RNAcentral